RNAcentral lists this ribosomal RNA (271 nucleotides) under uncultured bacterium. RNAcentral's name for it is "partial 16S ribosomal RNA". It matches the Rfam family "Bacterial small subunit ribosomal RNA", at positions 57 to 305 of the family's 1533-position model. The record is from RNAcentral.
GCAAGUCGAACGAAGAGACAUGGGAGCUUGCUCCUAUGAAUCUUAGUGGCGAACGGGAGAGUAACGCGGAAUCAACCUGCCCAACAAUGGGGGACAACAGUUGGAAACGACUGCUAAUACCGCAUACGACCUACGAUUGGCAUCAAUCGUAGGUGAAAGGUGGCAUCGACAUGUAAGCUAUCGUUGUAGGAGGGGAUUGCGUCUGAUUAGCUAGUUGGAGGGGUAACAGCCCACCAAGGCGAUGAUCAGUAGCCGGUCUGAGAGGAUGAAC